RNAcentral lists this ribosomal RNA (524 nucleotides) under uncultured Pseudomonadota bacterium. RNAcentral describes it as "bacterial SSU rRNA". It matches the Rfam family "Bacterial small subunit ribosomal RNA", at positions 385 to 896 of the family's 1533-position model. The record is from RNAcentral. Lineage: Bacteria; Pseudomonadati; Pseudomonadota.
GACGCAGCAACGCCGCGUGGGUGAUGAAGGCCUUCGGGUCGUAAAGCCCUGUCGGGUGGGAAGAAGCCCCUGACCGGUAAACAAUCGGUAGGGAUGACGGUACCACUAGAGGAAGCACCGGCUAACUCUGUGCCAGGCAGCCGCGGUAAUACAGAGGGUGCAAACGUUGUUCGGAAUCACUGGGCGUAAAGCGCGUGUAGGCGGCCGAUUGUGUCGAGUGUGAAAGCCCUCGGCUUAACCGAGGAAGUGCGCUCGAAACUGGUCGGCUUGAAGUACCGGAGAGGGGGGUGGAAUUCCCGGUGUAGAGGUGAAAUUCGUAGAUAUCGGGAGGAACACCAGUGGCGAAAGCGACCCCCUGGACGGAUACUGACGCUGAGACGCGAAAGCGUGGGGAGCAAACAGGAUUAGAUACCCUGGUAGUCCACGCCGUAAACGGUGGGCACUAGGUGUGGCGGGUGUUGACCCCUGCCGUGCCGAAGCUAACGCAUUAAGUGCCCCGCCUGGGGAGUACGGCCGCAAGGUUA